Molecule: long non-coding RNA, 11040 nt
Organism: Sphaerodactylus townsendi
Lineage: Eukaryota; Metazoa; Chordata; Lepidosauria; Squamata; Sphaerodactylidae
Exons: 2
Source: RefSeq, a predicted model, not a curated record
CAGAACUCUCUCAGCCCCACCUACCUCCCAAGAUGUCUGUUGUGGGGAGAGGAAGGGAAAGGAGCUUUCAGGAGAGAAAGGUGGGAUAUAAAUACAAAAUCACCUUUUUCUACCCAUUACUUCUCCCCAUCCAGUCUUUCUCCUGCCAGAUAACACAGAGCCUCCACAGAGAGAAAUGACUCAUGGCCAAGUGAUUUUGCAAAGCAGUGUUCAUUUACUAUCCUGCUUUGAUUCAUAGGACUUGCUUGUAUUGGAACAAUCUGCCUUCAAAUGUCUUUUGGCCCUCAAAAGUGUUGAAUGCAGGCUGCAUUUAUUCCAGUGGCCCUGGCCUCCAGAAAUGCCUAGCAGAGAGCAUUCGUGCUUAGCAAAUGUGUCUGAGUCUCAAGAGCAGCAUGAUCUCUGGUGGUUUCUGGCUCUUGUCCAUCACAGCACCAUUUUAGGCUUUGCUUGUGAGGGUGAGCAAGUCCCAGGUUAACAUUUACAGACUUUGCCUCAAAACUAAGUUGUUCAUCUUGUGCUUAGUCUGAUGCGCUUUCCCCCAAAACUAUCAAAAUUUGUUGAUUAACAUAUAAUCAGCUCUGAAGAUGUAUCUGGGUAUAAGUAAUGCAGCCAUAAUUCAUUUUUAAAAAUCUUUUAAAAUUGAAGGGCGCUCUCUCUCCACAAAUGCCCAGACACCAUUAAGGAAAUUAAUUGAAAGAAACCUAUUGAAAGGGGUGGGUGGGGGCAAAGACGCUAUCUCUUGCAUUAAGCAGUGUCCUCUGGUGCAAAUAAAUAAAAGUGUUUUAGAUGUAGUUUCUGUGCUCAGUCACUGUCAGUAUGCAGAUUCCAAAAGCACUGAACCUCUGUCUCUCAUAUGCAUUGCAGCACGCAGUAGCAAACAGAAACCAAUUCUAAGUGCCAAGAAUGUAGUUUCCCCUAUGCAGGUACUACAGAUUUCCUCAGUUAAAAGUACUGAGGUAUUUAAACCAUUGAGCUGCAAAACGACUAGUGGGAUUUUUUAAAAAAAUAAACAUGAUGCAUGCUUGAAAUUUUUAAACUAAGGUUCUGCCAGAGUGUGUUGUGUGUGUUUUUGUGUGCGCGCAUGUGUGUUUUAAUUUAUCCUCCAUAGCUGCCUUGGGAAACAUCACUACCUGUGGUGCAUAUGGACACUUUGGUGUCCCAUUAAUAUUCUAGUGCCAUGCAUGUAAAUAAAUAGUGGAUGGUAGCUGACUGUUUUAUUUCUUUUAAUGUAUAUAAAGAUUUAAAACCAUGAGCCUGAUCCAUUCCUAUGUGGGCACUGCAAUGCUGCCCUCUUCCAUUCCUUGUUUGUCUGCGGAGGGUGCAGCCUGCCAGUAGUUAGUCUCAUUGGGGGGGGUCCUUAAUUGUAGUAAGUCAUAAGUUGGAGGAGAGAGCGACUGGAUUUGUAAGUAUAAGGUGUGGAUGAACUACAGGUAACAGCCACCAACUGUUGUGUAUGCACAGGCAGCAUCUGCUGGGGAAUGGAUCAUGCCCUGUGCAAGUUAUUUUAAGGGAUCGACAAACAGAGAGGAAGGGUGUACAUCUCAGUAUAUGCGCAAAAGACAUCCAUAAUGGCUUGAAGAGUCUGGUAUCGCUUCCAGCCUACGUCUUGCCAUUUGUAACACCCUCCUUUGAUUUUCAAAACCAUUUCCUAAACCAUAUGGCUAAAAACAUAUUCUGGAUAUAUUUCAGUUGUUACAAGAAGAAAGAAGGAUAAUAAUACACUGAGAACAACAUGGGCUGGUUCAAGAUGUCCCUGUGUUUUGGUUUUUCAGGCAGUGUGUGUGUCAACUAAGGUUUGUAUUCAGAACUGAACAGAGAUCUAUCAGAAUGGCUAUCUUAGAAUCUAGUCCGCCUGCACGCAAGUACCUCUCUGAGACACAGUGAUCUGAGGCCCAGAUCUACCAACUUAUUCUCCCAUUUCAUGCACUGGCCAAAUAGAAGAUGACUUUUUAGUCUGAAGUCUGCUUUUUAGUUACUCAGACUUGGGGCUUCAACUGGUGAAAUACUGGGUGCUCUCAGGUAGAACUAGACACUGUCAAGUUCCCAUGUCAAGUUCUUUUUUUCUCCUCCUACCUGUGCUGUGACAUCAUGUCCGUUUCUUCCCCAGUCCAUAUCAUUGGCUGGUACUCUCCAAUACCUGCUUGCUGUCGCUUAUUCCCGAUUCACUGUGCAAGAAUUACAUACCCUCUGUAAGUUUUGUUGAAGCUUACUUGGUUCAGCAUGACUUAUCAAAGGUGUAUCCAGACAUACCGCUGGACCAUUUAAUAAUCCUCCAGACUGGUGUUUGACUGCAGGACUAGCAUUGCCAUCUGUUAACAAUAUUGUGAAUUAAUAGCGUGAGCAUCGCCAAGUGCCUAAUAAGACUGUAGUCAAUGGAUUAAUGUCUUAAGGGUAUGUUAAUUUUUCAUAAUGCUAAAUUAGCUUUUUUUUUUGAAGAGUAUGAUAAUUGACUCUGUCAAGCACUUAAAAAUUUUAUGGUCGUUCCAAUAUUUUAAUACUCUAAUAAAGCCUUAAAUUUAAGUAGGGAAAUACAAUUUUUUCAUCAUUUCCUUUUUGCCAAGAGGUUUAGAGUUGGGGCAGAAGUGCUGGCAAAAAACCCCCCAAACAGCUAUAAAAGUAACAGACAUCUUAGAUUUAUUAUGCACUUUUGUCAACUUCCUGGGACACAAGCAGCCCUACUUCUGAAUAAACACACAGAGGAGUAGACCGUUUCAUUGGGUUGCUCGGAUUCUUCCCACAGGCUGAUGGACCAAUCUAGAUUAUUGAAAUCAUUUUCAGUUUGACCCUGCAACCCAACUGGACGUUAGCUCCACUCUGCUGCCUGUGGCUUCCAUUUUGCAAGAUCCAACUGAAACCCUUUGGGUGAAGUGAAAUGAUGUUUUCGUGAGUGCUUGUUUGAUUGAAAUCAGUUGAUUAGAAACCUGGUCUGAAUCUUCUGUUAAUGUACCUCAGAUCCCCCCCCCCCCCCCCAAUAUAUAUCCUAGGUCUAGGACUAUUUCCUGAAACAGUGUUGAGGUUUUUUGUUUCAGAUGUAAAAGUGGCUGUGGGCAGUGUGAGUGGGCUUAGAAAGAGCAAUGGAUUGGGGGUGGGAGUGAAGGUCUGGUUGUGUUGUCGUAUAGUAAAACAAGAAGAAACCCUUCCUUAAUGUAGGGACAUUUCUAUUACUGGGGCUGUAAUGUCCAGUCCUUUCGGCUGGAGAUUGCUCUGAUGUUUUAGAAUAAGUAAAAAGAGUUCCCCUCCUAGUGUCUCACAGUUUUUUCACUUACACUGCUGUCUCAACACCUGCCCCACCCCACCCCACCCCAAGGAAAAACAAGAAUUAGGGUUACAUUUGGCCUAGAGAUAACUGCUUUUCAAAACCACCCUGAGAUUUCUGCUACUGUAAACUAACAGGCUGAUAUUUCUCUGGUGUGGUUCAUAAGAGUUUUACCCAAGGCCAAAAACUAGCAAGGGCAAUUCAGCUAAGCUAUGUGUGCAUUGCUGCUUAAAUCAGAAUCCCAUUUGUUGUCACUUCGUGAGAUCAUGAAUGUAAACUCUCACAUUACUCAAGAUAAACUUGGUGCAGAAAGCAUGGAUGGAUCUUUCUAGGCAUUGCUUUAUGUGAAGAAUUCUCAAGCUAGUGUUGGUGUCUGGCAUUUGCUUCUACCCUUCAUCUCCCGAUUUAUUAACAGGAUCUCAUAGGCUUUGCUUGAACUUGGUAAUCCAGCUAUGGGCGGUAUUCCAUAAAGGGGUAGAUCUGUGAGGCCUUGAAGUAUUAACUAGAGGGAGAGAGUGUGUUCCUUGAAAUACAAGUAACCUUCAGCAUCCUAUAUCAUGUUUGGCUUUUUUUCAGCUGUGCUGAAGAAAAACCUUACAACUGUGUUGUCACUUGAAUUUUGACAUUUAACUAUAGCAACGUUAAACAAGCAGAAACGUCCAGCUUUUGCUUCUCAGGAAAAGCAGAAGAAUCACUUACACAUGUGCAGAGAUAACCUUUGCUUACUCUGUUUGGCACGUCUGAUCACAUUUUGUUCUUUUUCAGUACCCAGAGCCUUGUUCUUGAAGCGUAUUGAACGGUGCUACUUUGGCCCUGCUUUAGAAUUCCUGAAUGUUGUGCUUGAUAUAUUUGAAUCCAUCUGUUUCUUGAACGGUAGUUGUUCGUUCCUUUUGUGUUAUUUUCCAUGUUUAAUUUUCAGCUUUGCCUCGUGAGCACUCUUUUCCUUCUGUUCUUUCUUUUCUGAACACCUUUCACGGAGUAUAAAAGCUCCCUUUGAUUGAACAUUAAGACUUUUGCAGUCUCUCUGUUGCUGUAAAAUUGUAGAAAUGCUUUAUUUAUGCAAAGGAGAUUUCUGUAAAGUCACUCCUAACGAAAUCAGAGACGUUUCUCAAGCGUCUCAAAGUAGCCAGCCAGUUCCAUUUCAGUUAUUGUAUGGGAGCCUGUAAUUUCUCUAGCUAAUUGCCAAGUAAAAGGCUGCCUGCCCCAAAUAUUUCAUCAGCCAAGGCAGCAUGCUAAGUAAGAACAAACAUGAAAAAUUGUCAGGCUUGCCAAAAAUUCUUCUCAUGAAGGAAGGAGCUGUUUUCUCUCUCAUUUGGGUAGAAGUCGUACUGCUGCUCACAGUUCUAGGGAGGAAAAGGGGUGCCUUUCUCAGCAUGUGAUAAUAAGCUCCGAUUGAUGAAUUCUGAUUCCUCGUCUCAUUCUGGUGGCACUAAAAAUAUGCAUGGCAUCUUCCGCUCUGUUAGCUUCUCUGAUAGGCUAGGGUGGCUGAAGCUGUCUUCAGUCAGUCAUAUUUUGAUCAUUUAAAGCCCAAUCUUGAAACUCAUGACAGGUGAGAAAAAGAGGAAGGACGUGGUAAAAUUGUACAGUUGCUAGGUUCACUUUUGUUUCAUUCUGUUUCAGUUCCAGUACACAAGUAUCUUAUCUUCACCAGAUAAGACAAAAGAAAACAGAACACCUAACAAGGAUUCAUAGCCAAUAUUUGCUGUAGCUUUCUGAAUCCCCUUAAAACUGGGAUGCCCGUACCUCAUUUGUGAAAGCAUUUUGGUCUUUCUGAAGUGGGUUUUUUGUUUUGUUUUUAAAGACACUACCAUGGAUAAUUCUUGACUACCACUGAAAACCCCACCUGUCAGAAGCUGGUUCGUACAUAGGGUGGAUAAAUUCUUGCAAAUCUAUAUUGUAUCCAUGCCAGCUCAGGAGAGAAAGGUGGGGUAUAAAUCCAAACUCCUCCUCCUCCUUUGAUGAUGAUGAUGCUUGGUAGCUUUUAAGGAGGCCAGCUUCAAUACUAGAAGUCAUCUCAUUUGGCCAGCAUCCAAACAAACCCAGGAAAAACCACUACAAGGGUGAUGCAGUUUCCUUGAGAAGAAUUUAGUAAGCCUAGACAUCUUCUCUGUCUCCUUCUCCCCUCUUCCUUCCAGAACUAUGCAACUUUUUUAUGUUACUAGAAAGGGCUAUAGACAAGCCUCUGUUUAAAUAUUUGCACCUUUUUUUUUUGCAAGAGGCAGUCACUCAGAGCUAAGUAACAGGCUGUGGUUUAUAUUAAGACUCUAGAUCCUGCCUAGAGUCUUAAUAUAAAGACUUAAUAUAAAGACUGCCAUUGCUUCAUUCGGUCUACCUUUUAUGGGUGUCCAGCAUUUCCAUUCUGCAUGGUAGUUACUUGCCUGAUUGCCUUUGGUGACUAAUAAUAAUUCCCAGGUGAUCAGGAAGGGAAGGGGUUUUUUUUUUGUAAACUUGAAGGAAGUUGGUUCUAUGGUCCCUUCCGCACAUAUAGAAUCUUGCACUUUCAAUCCACUUUCAUGAUUGUUUGCAAGGAGAUUUUGCUAUUCCGCACAGUAAAAUCCAGCCGCAAAGUGAAUUGAAAGUGGAUUGAAAGUGCAUUAUUCUGCAUGUGCGGAAGGGGCCUUUGUUUCACGCAAAAUGGUUAAGAGAAAUAUCCCUUGACUACUCGCCUGUAUGCCUCUUGUGGGCUAAUUUGAGGGUAGCCAAGUUUUUAGCAUAAUAACAUUUGACAAACCUUGAUUUUUCUGCAGCCUGUUGCAUUUGAACUGCAUUUUUAGAAAGUUUGGUUUUUCUUUUAGCAUUUCGGUUUCAGUUUCUGAGAACUAUGGCCAUGUGAACUAAGCCUCCUUCCCAUAUUUGCUCACUUAGAGUGAAUAAAAUUCAUAGUCUUGACUUCUGCGUUGUUAAAAACCACCAUCCAAAGGAAGUGACGUUCCACUGAAAUAAACUCAGAGUUCAACUAGGUUUUUUCCCCAGUUCAUUCCAGAGGGAUAGUUAUUUUACUCUAUUGUCGAGAAGCAGGAAGGGAAAUGGCACAGUAAAGAGUAGCAAAAUGUUUAUUCUUAACUUUUUCAAUGGCUUGGCUCUUUGACCCUGCUACUUUACAACUUUUUCAUACAUUUCUGUGUGUCUACCUUCUGAGGAGCCACUUUGUGCAUCUGUGGGUGUAUGCUGUAGACCCAGUCUUCAGCCAAGGAAGAUCAUGAACCCCUUUUUUUGUUUUUGUUUUCCUGCUUUCUGGAGGGACCUGGAACUAAUGCAUGCAUGCAGAGAAUACGGUCAGCAUACAUCCUACCUUGCCUUUUAUACCCACUGAGAGGUAAAGGAGGACCUUGAGGUAAAGUUACUCAGCUUUGGGGAGGAUUCCUUUUUAGAGCAAACAGAUUCCAGGAUGCACGCCCCUCCAUCGUCCACACAUGUAGUUUCUUUUGCCUUCUGCCUUGGCCUGGCCAUUCCCCCAUCUCUGUCAGUUGGUCCUCCAGUACACUGUGGGCUUCCAGUCCACCCUGCCCCCUCCCAACAGUGAGAUCAUAGCUCUGGCGUCUCUUCUUGUUACACGAUUUCGGUCACUUCUGUUGCAUUUUGAAUUUCAGCGGGUCCUGUGCUGCCACCUGGGUGUUUAAAGGCAAGUCCUGCAUCUGGAAGCAUUAAAGACCUCCGUUCUAGUCUGUGAAAGCUUUUUUGCUGAAAUAAAAGCUUCAAGUUGAUGCAAAGCUUUCCAUUGGUGUUUGCGUGCCCUGAUUUUCUCUUGUUUGUGCUGUCAGCCUCAGCCUUCUUUACAGGUAGACUCCAAGAGAUCGAUGUAAAUACGUUGCUUUGUUUUUGUUAAUUGAAAACAUAACGAGUUUGUAUGGCUGCUCACAUAUAGCCAAGCCAGAAGCUAUUUUUAUAGUCCUUGUUCUUCGAUGCAUCUACAGUGUUUCUUAACAGAUGUGCAAUUUAUUUAAGGAAACAUACGGUUUCUUCAAACUUUGUCAAAGUGGCCUUUUCUAGGAAAAGCACACCGUAUCUGGAUAACCGUUGUGAUUUAUAAUUUCAAAAUUAUUUUUUUGUUUGCAUUGAUUGAAUUUGUAUGUGUUUUUUAAAACAAUCAGAUGUCUUGUGCCAUGAGUUUGCAGGCGUAGUGAAAAAGAAGUCACGUUUUCCAUCAUCGUACGCUGCUUAUAUCUGAACUGCUAAGGGGCAGCUAAUGCUUUUCAGUUUUGGAACAUUUCCCUGUAGCAAACAGAGUGAUCGAGUCCUAACUCCUGCAGACAUUUAAGUAAUACUAAAAGGCACUUGGAGCAUCACAGAGGUUUGGAACAGGGCUUUUGGUCACCAGUUCCAUAGGGCAGAUGAUUCCAUCAGGGUGUUCAUUUUUUUUCUUUUAUACAUCCUUAGUGUCAGCGCAGUGAAUUGUAGAAAGCAAUCGUGGCUUUUAACAGAUUAGCUGUAAGGAGCAAUGGCAGAAGUAUAUGGUGUUAUCGCUGAGGAGGAUAUCCGACCCAAGCAAUUUACAAAAAGCAGAACGUAUCACUGUACGUGACUCAUAUUCCUGAGAACUUGUUCUUUCCACUCAUGUUUACGGUCAGAAUGCUUAAAUUUCAAAAAUUUCUUGCUGUAGUCAUUGUCUUAGAGCAGGGGUGUCAAACUCAUUCAUUAUGAGGGCUGGAUGUGACAUACAUGUGACUUGGCCAGACCCAAGAGUGUGUGGCUUCCUUGGCUGCUACCAGAAAGGCACUGGACUGGUGAGCCUGCAGCAGAGGGAGGGUGUUGCUUUGAGAGAGCUUAUCCAGCAUGUUUGACACCCCUGUCUUAGAGAUUAACCUAGCGAGGGGACUGUCUAGGAAUCAGAAUCAGUCGAGAUGUUAGAGACAGCAGCCCCAAGCAUGUUGCUCUUCCACAGUUAAAGCACAAUUGAUUUUAGUAUGCAGGUUCAACUAGGUGCUGUUGAAGAAACGUUUGGUUAAAUUGCGUACAGGCUUAUUGGAACGCUUAAUUGCAGGGGUAUAUUUGGGGGUUGAGUUUCAGUGACUCUUUGCAGAUGUACUUUCAGUUGCUUGCUCAGCGCCAUGAGAGUGUUUGCAGUGCUAAGACUGGUAGAGACUGCCAGAUUUAAUAACAAUCCCCUUGAUGUUGUCAGUGCUAAUACACAAUCCUCUAGAAACCCAAGAGAAAUAUCUAAACAGUGGACCUCCAAGGUGACUGUCCUGUUUUUGUUUUUUUUGUUUUGCCAACUCGGUCAACAGGGCUUGUUCAGAUGCCAUACUUUCCCUCACAAGGGACCUCAGCUAGUCCUGCCACGUUCCCACACUUUUGCCGUAAUGCUGAACAGACGUGCCAGAAAGCAACACUAAAAUGCAUGUGUGUGGUUGGGAUCUAUGAAACCACGCAUGAAAAUUGCCUUAUGCUGAGUCAGACCCAUGGACAGGCAACAUGACUCUGACUGGCGACAGCUCUCAAGGUCUUGGGCCAAAAUCUUCCAGAGCCCUGAACUGGGGAGGCCAGGGGGGGGUAACCUUGGGACCUUCUGCACACCGCACCGUCUCUUCUGUCAUUGAGAGGUGACACUUCCCCAGAGUCUGUGCGGAGGGAGACUUUUGCGGAAUCCCCCUUUUCAAGGAAGCUGAAGGGUAUGGUGUUCCCAUGUUCUUGCUUGCACUGGUUAACUAGCACUGGCGGCUGAGUUUUCACACUUCUGCCUCAUUUUUAUUUUUAGCUGUUGAGAAAACUAUCCUCUCCAUCGGUGCUCUUUCCUCUACCCCCCACUCAAAGUGUGACUUUCCACCUGCAUUCACUAGCGAGGGGAGGGGAUCUUCCUCAAUAUACAUUAUGGCAUCUGAACAAACCCAUCGUUAAGUAUGAGCGUGGAGUUCAUUUUUUCAGCUUUAGUUGCUCCAGAGAUUCUGUAUCUCAUACUAGCCUGGACUUAGGAGAAAACCCACCUACGUAAGAACAGAUAUGGUUGGGCUAGUUUGAAUGUCGUGCAUGCUAACUUGUACUCUUUUAUAUUUGAAGAAGAAAAAUGUGCAAUUUGAAUGGCACUUUGUGAUUGGUUAGUGAAAACUGGGCUUUGCAAUGAAACGUCGUCUUAAUGAGUAACGACAAAGUGGUGUUGUCUGUGUUCCUUGUAUAUGCUUUUCAAGUGUGUUGAUUCAUAGCUGGGUUUUUUUUAAUCUUGACUGCUCAUUUAGGGAAACAAUAAUCUUGAUCCACUGGCUCCAGGGUGCACCUAAUAUGCUGCAUGUGCAGGGACUAUGGAAUUCUCUGCUCUAACAGUAGGGAAUGACCUUGUGUACCUGCAUUUCUCUUCAUAAAGCAAAGACAGACGUCACAUUUUUAAAUAACGGUUGCAGGAGUCUGUCUUCGCCCACCUUCACUUUUACCUUGCAGAAACAUCCUUUGCAAAUAUCCCAUCCUGCAUAUGAUUAGCUCAACCUGACGACCUUGCCCCUUUUCUGUACAUUUGGUCGGUGGUUUCUGCACAGCAGUUUCCCCUGUUUUCUUUUGCACUGGAGAUUUCACCCUCCGGGAAGCAAUUGCAAACAGUCCGGGUGGCUGAGGGUCCUUUGAUUUCUUCCAAAAGAUUUAGUGAUUUUUUUGGAAAACCUGGGCUGAGGGAAAUGUAAUGGGCUGAACACUGUUUGGGGAAGAGCCCUGUGCGAAGUUCUUCCCCAAAAUGGGAUAAAUAACUUCCUCGGCCCGUUAUGUUUGGGCUGUGCAGAAACCACUAUAGUUAGGGUUGUAAACAGGCCUGGAGGAAAAUGCCCUGUCCCUUUAACAGAGGCUUAUGGGCGGUUGAAGCUUUUCAUGGGAUGAGAGGUAAAUGAUGUCAUCUGGUAAACAACAACCCAUUAAAGGGACAAAACAUUUUUCUCUGGGCUGUUGGUAACCCUAAUGAUAGUUUAUACAUUUAUCUUUAAAAAACAACAACCAUGCAGAUUCAGUCUGCACUUCCCACAACUUGGCCUUUUACCCUUUGUUCAAAUGGCAGCACUUCCAAAAGCAAACAAACAAACCCAGAAGAUGGGUGUCUUUUCCGUUCUUGCCGCAGGAGAGAAGAUGGUUUGUUUGAACCGAGUGCAUGGUCAGGGCUUCCAGACCUUUCUUCCCACACAUACACUCUACAGAUGUUGAGUCUGUCUUCAUUUCUAUAAGAAAAAAAGGGAACUCUGAAUACAUCCUGGAGUUGUAAGAAGGGGUUUGGAUCAUGAGAUGUACUGAGUCCGUUUGCUUAAGGAUCAUUUCACUCACCCCUCGUUCCCCUCCAAUGGUAUGUUUCUGUGAAUCAUCUUGCUUGUCCACCAAUAAAAGAAAAUCAGAAUUCCUUUCUUCUCAUUGGUAACACUUCAAGUUUACAUAAUCUACAGAUGCAAAAAUGCGUAUUAAAAAUGGGUCGUUGGAUUAAGUAGCACUUUGUUUACAUGUUCGGUAUCAUGUUGGGCAAGUUAAGGGUUUCCUGUUUUGUGUUUUUUUGUUUUUAAUUUAAAGCACAUGGAUUGUGCUCUGGGGCUUCGUAGCCACUGUGCAAAUUGUGGCGUAAUAUUGUACUAAGGAUAAGUGAAAGUGUGUUUUAUCUUUUUUAAUGUAGUUUGUAUUGACCGGGUUUUAUAACGUGUAAAGAGAAACGAAGAGUGUUGUAUUUUGAUCUGAGAUUUGUGUACAGUAAAGUCACUUUGCUUUAUGUAUUGGAGGUUCAUUGAAAACUUGAACUAUUUUAUAGAAGGGUAUGCAGACCAAAAUUUAAUUUGUCUUAAAGAUGUUUGAUGAACUAACCAAAUAAACAUUUUAUGGUUUGCUUACACUGA